This is a non-coding RNA of Podarcis muralis (Common wall lizard), 6415 nucleotides long. Lineage: Eukaryota; Metazoa; Chordata; Lepidosauria; Squamata; Lacertidae. The record is from RefSeq and is a predicted model, not a curated record.
GCUGCCUCCGCCUCCUUGUUCCGGGCGGGCCAGGAGAGGCUCAAGAUGGCGGCGCCCUUAGCGGAGGAGCUGGAGCGGCUGCUCAACCCGCUGCCCCGCGCCUUGCACGACCCCGAGGACGACCCCGAGGACGCCACCGCAGCCAGGGUGGUUGACAAGUUUGAUGAAGGUGAUGAAGAUGAUGUCCUUGCGCUUGGGCACAUACGAAAGGGGGUCUCCUCCCACCUUUUGGAUGCUGAUAAGAGAUACCGUGGGAAGGCCGUAUCCCGCAAAGCUUUGGAGGAAGAGAUGUGGGGAGACGAUCAACUGUCAGAUGAGCAGACUUCAAACGAGGAAGAGGAAACGGAUGAGGAGGAUGAGGACCAGGAUGAGGAAGAUGCUACCUGCAGCGUUGCCAGCAGCCAGGAGGAGGAAGAAGAAAAUAAACAGCUGGGGAAACUGAAGGAAGAUGCUUUCGUUUUCCAGGCUGUGGACGACUUUGCGAAAUUUGCAGAGGGGCUGGACGAAAUGGGCAGUGCGAUGGAAAUGUUGGAGGAAGGUGAGGAAGACGACAGUGUCGAAGAAGGCAGCGGAGAUGAGGAAGACAGCAUGGAAGAAGGCAGCGAAGGUGGAGCGACGUCGGAGGAAAGCGCCGCGGGGAGCAAGGAGGAGGAGGAGAUGGUGGCGGAUGCGAGGGAGAGUAAACAUCUUGGGGGGAUGUUGCCGUUCUCUAAAGACCGAGUGGCCGAAGAAGUUGCUAAAGGAAAAGCCGUGAAGAAUCAAAUAGCUCUGUGGGAUCAGCUCUUGGAAGGGCGAAUUAAACUGCAGAAGGUUCUCCUGACAGCCAACCAGCUUCCCCAGCCAGAUACCUUCCUGGAGUUUAAGAAAAGAGGAGGACAGGAGUUUGCCGCUGCACUCAAGAACAAUCACAAAGCCCUCAAGGCUUUGCUGAGGACCCUGGUGGAUCUCCAGGAUGAGCUUUUGCACCAGUAUUCGGGCACGAGACAUCUGGUAGAUGGAGAGCAGGGAAAAGAGGAGAGCAACGAAGAGAUCCCAAGCGGCGAUGACGACGAUGACCAAGCUGAGAGGGAAGACAAGGAGAGGAAGAGGCCACGCAAGCGUAAGCUGGGAAUGGACGAUUACCCAGAGUUCGCGGCCAAGCGGUUUGCCGACUUCCGGUCCUAUCGGAACAGCACGCUGCAGAAGUGGCAUGAUAGGACCAAGCUGGCUUCUGGGAAGCUGGGGAAGGGUUUUGGUGCCUUUGAGCGUUCCAUCCUGACCCAGAUCGAUCACAUCUUGAUGGACCGAGAGAGGUUGCUCCGGCGGACGAGGACCAAGCGGUCAGCCUACAGGGUACUGGGGAAGCUGCAGCCAGCCCCUGAGCCGUUGCCAGCGACUUUGCCAGGACAGGCGGAGGCCCUUCCGCCAACAGCAUCCAACGCGCACCUCAAAGACCUGGACGAGGAGAUCUUUGACGACGACGACUUCUACCAUCAGCUCCUCAGGGAACUUAUUGAACGUAAAACCAGCUCCUUGGACCCCAACGACCAGGUGGCAAUGGGCAGGCAAUGGCUGGCUAUCCAGAAACUGCGGAGCAAAAUCCGGAAGAAAGUGGACAAAAAGGCCAGCAAAGGAAGGAAAAUUCGGUAUCACGUCCACAGCAAGCUGGUCAGUUUCAUGGCCCCCAUUGACCAUUCCACGAUGACUGAUGAUGCCAGACAUUUGAUAAGUUGCAUUGCCUGCCUUGUAGCUUUGGACAGGCCUGUGUGAAAGUGAUGCUCUGACAAGAUUCAGAAAAGGCAAGAAGGUACGAAGGUGUCCACUCUCCCACUUGUUGUUUAGAAAGGGGCCUUUGCUUCUCCCUUAGCAAUUUUUGUGAGGUGACAAGUUUGUUUUUGGAAGCCGAGCGGAACCUGGGACAGGCAUAUGGACUAGAAACUUUGCUAGUUUUUGUUUGUUUUUUAAUGUGAAGAAAGGUGGCAUAUUGACAGAGCUGGAUUUUGCUCCUACAGAGAUACCCUGGGCCCCAGAUGGUAACCCUAAAUUUAAAAUAAAAUAAAAUUGUGUGCGCUUGUUUCAAGAAGCUGCUUUCAGGAAAUGAAAUGACAGUGUGAAUUCUAUCUUAACGUGGGUUCUCCAAGUGGCGGAACGAGGACAGUUAUCCCCAUCAGAAAAUCGAAGAUUUUUUCCCACCCCGCCCCCUCUAGGGUGCAGAAAGUAUCUGUGUCAAGGUGAGUAUUGACUUUUGUCUUAGAAAAUGUAUGUAGCAUGGAUGAAUAAAUCUUUAUGUGCAUUUGCAGCAAAGCCAGAGCUGUAGAUCUUAGAGAAGGACAUUGAUUUUUGCCCCCUCCCCCCCCUCCACUACCUCCCAUUUUCUCCCAGCUUUCUGAAGAGUCAAAAUUUGCCUGGCAUAAACUUCUUUUAAAACAACAACAACAAUUCUGUGGACCCUUUCCGAGUUUGUCAUAUUUCUAUUCUUGGAUUUAGUUGCAUGCGCCCCCCCCCAACCCUGGGGAAAGUUUUGGAGAGUCAUGGUCUAUCCUUUUGCUAAAACUAUAAGUGGUAAAGCUAAGAACUGGGGUGUGAAAUUAGGUUGCAGCCAGCUGUUUUGGGGUUGGACGUGAGACUUUAGAUGGGUACUGUUGGACGAGGAGAAGAGAGAAGCACAUGAUGCAAAAUGGUGUUGAGUAAUGGCAGGAGAGCACCAAAGAUCAGUUGUUGAGCACUUUGUUUGUGUGCAGAAGGUCUCAGGUUCCAGCUCCAGGUAAGACUGGGAAUUGUCCCCAUCUAAAAUCUUCUGCCACUCAGUGUAGACAGCACCUGAGAAAGGUAGACAAGCUUUCUGAAUAUGGGUAGUUUUUAAUGUUUGAUGUUUUACUGUGCUUAAUGUUUUUAAUUUGUUGGAAGCUGCCCAGAGUGGCUGGGGCAACCCAACUAGGUGGGAGGCAUAUCAACAAUAUCAUCCUGUCUCCCUGGGUUUUAGGAAAUAACAACAGCUUCCUAGAACCCAGGGAGACAUGUCAGUCUUCAUUUCCCAAAGUUCCAGUAGCUGGGGCCGAUGAAUGGUUUUAUUUAUCGAAUUUAAUUCGAGACACAUUUCCUCCUUAACUCUUCCUAUUGUUUACAAAACACCUGGUUUUUAAGACCACCUCUUUUAAUACUGUCUCCCAGCCUCGCAUCUUUUCUUCUGCCAAGUCAGGCAGACCUCAGGAGUAGGACCAUGUUUUCAAGUGAAGGCUUUUGGAAUCUCUUCCCUGUGCCAUCUUGCAAACAGUGAAGGGCAGCAUUUAAAUUGAAUAAAUAAACAAACAAAAUAAUUCCCAAGCCUCUUGAUUGCAACGUGGACUGUGUCACACCCAUAUUCCUCUCUUUUCUUUUGUAAUAACUGAACUCAGCUGGGAAGUCUGUGGGCUGCAAGAUGAUGCCAGGCUAGAACUCCAGUCAUCCUUGACCCCCAACUGGGACUGCUGGAAGCCCAGCCCAAUGACAUCUCCGACAUAACAGACUUUAGGCAAGCAGCCGCCUGCCAGCCUCAGUCCCUCAGCCUGCAGCAUGGGCGUUCUUGAGAGGAUUACAGAAAGAAUCCUUGUUUUGUGCUUGGAGCCCUCUCUCCCAGAAAUUGCUGCACUCUGAAAACACGGAAGCUGCGUCAAGGAAUUCACAACGCAACGCAAUCUGAUGGUUGGAAUUUUUUUUAUUAAAAGAAACUUGAGGGUAUGCAAGCUUCUUUAACUGAAAGCAGUGGGACUUGAGGUUGUGGUAGCCAGCUCUUCCUUUCAAUGGGACUCACUCUGAAGUAAGUUUCAGAUUACUUGCUAUUUUAAUAGCUUUUAAAAAAUUGUUUUAAUGCUUUGGUGAUUGCCCCCCUCUGCUCUUUUGGGAAGAAGGGCAGGAUAGGAUUUUUGUGGAGGGAAAUAUAUUGAAUUCAAUGAGGCUUACUCGUAGGUAAGUGGGGUUGCAGACCUUUUUUGGAUUGGAGCUGGCUUCCCCCAGAUCCAGGCAUCUGCCCAAAGAUAGCAUGCCACAGGGCUUCCAAGAGAACCCAUAUCUAGCAUGUCCCCACCUUACAAAAUUUGAUCCCUACCCGCUUUUGCAAUUGGCUGGAACACGCGUAUUAAUUUAAUUCCUUGUAAUGAGGGGGAAAGAACACAGCAUUUCUUAAAACUGAUUUUGCACAAAGUAUUAUUUUAUUGCAUGGUGGUGGGGUGACUCAUUUAAAGCUGUGUUUCUCCUUCAUGAAACGCCCCCCCCUCCCAAGUUGGUGAACUGGUGCAAUAAUGGCUGUCAUCCUAUCUGGAAGUGUCAUCAAAGGCUCAACACCUGGAUCCACCAGCCUGUGAGUAGCAUCUCCUCUUACAUUGGUGUAGCAUUGCGGGUCACUUGCGUCUUACACAAGGAUUGGCUUCCAAGGGUCCAUCUGUAUAUGCAGAAACGCAGAAAGCCAGGAACUGCCCCUCCCCAUAAAGUGGAGGGGUGCUUACCUGGUUUUUGGGAAGGGGGUGUGAGGGCUCUGCCAGGGUCCCAGAAUCUUCCCACCGCCUUCCCAAAGCCUAAGAAGUGCUUGCCCAGCUUUGGGAAGGAGUGUGAGGGCUCUAGGACCUUGCCAGAGCCCCCCAACUGCCUUCCCGAAAGCCAGGUACGCUCAUGAUCGUAGGGGGGAGGGAUAAAUGGAGAGUGGUUUCCUUCACUCUCCAUGCUUUUAUUUUAUUUCCUCCUCACCCACACAAGAUUUGAGGUGUAUGUGUGUGUAGGCCCUUUGUUAGCCAUCAGACAUCCUGCUUUGGGACUUCCUAUUGGGACGUCUCAUUGGCCACUGUAAGAACAGGAUGCUGGCUCAGAUGAGCCACUGGACUGAUCCAGCAGAGGCUGGUGGCUGUAGGGAAGGCAAGCCUGACCGAGCGUAGCAUAUGUAUUCUGCUCCAUCCCCCUGCUGCCAAUGGGCAACCUGACCCUCCAAAAAAGCAAGGCCACAGGUGUGCAGGUGAAUUCCUGCUAUUGCGCUAGCGUAGCUCCCUGAAUUGGUGCCUUGGCGAAAGUGCUGCUCAGCCGGCAGUGCUUAGAUGCAGGCCAGUUACCACCCCCGCAAGGCUGCAUUUUUUCCUACCUCCCCCCUGUCUUAAGAGACAACACAAAAGGGUGUCCUGUACCCAAUGGGGCAGGAGAUGCUCAGCUUUACCUUUCUGCUCCACCUGUUCAAGGUUAGGUCCUCUGGCGCAAGCCAGCCGGUCCACCACCCACCAAGGCCGCAAGUGUUGAUUUACAGAAGCAAGUGCCACUUCUAGCUUACAAAUUGACAGCACUGCCAGCAAAGUAUGUAAGGAAUUGAAGGCAAGGAUAGGCACCUGUGGGGUUUACUGUACAGGAACAACUUCAAGUCCAUGCCCCCUACUUUCAGGGGUGGCCAACACAGUGCCCUCCCACAUUGCUGAACUAUACCUUCCACCACACCCAAGAACGAUGUCUGAGGCUGAUGUGGAGGUGGAGGCCAGGGACAUCUGAACAGCACCAUGUUGACUGCUCCUGACUGAAUGGCAAGACGCUGUGCUCCAUGAAAGCUUCAUGGUAGAGCCAGGCUGUAAGGAAAGUUAGGCUCAAUUCAGGUAGCACAGCCACGUGAUGCAGGGACUGAUGGGAGAUGUCGUCAGAAUCAUAUUGAGGGCACCAGCUUGGGGAAGUCUGUGCUACACUUUAUGGACAAGGGAUAUAUAGCUGGGGUGGCCCUUGUUCGUUCUGCUGCAAAAGGCAGAAUGAUUUCAGAUGGGAUCAUGCCCCAGUCACCUUGCAAAAUAACUUUCAUAUGAAACAGAAAUGCCCUCAGAUUUCUCUAAGUCCAAUAUAAUGAAGGGAAACCUCUCCCAUCAAAGGCUGGAGCCUCUUAUAAACACUGUUUUCUGACUAUUUUAGCAUUGCAGAGCUUUUUAUCCACCCUGCAGACUGGCUUUCCUAGGUUUAUUGCAUGAACGCAGAAAUGAAACAUCUGAUGGCCAAUCAAUCGUGCACAGAGAGAACUAAUAAUAUGACCUAAAAAAAGGGCGAUGAUUUAAACUUUGUGCAUGAAGUGGGGAUGACCUCGCCACCAGCAGGGAGAGAGAGACGAUAGGAGUCUAAACCAGUUUAGAACAGGUGCUGUGGGCCUCCCUUUUAGGGGUGGCGCUACCACCCCGCUGCCAAAUACGGCUGACAAACACGGGAUCUUUUGCAUUUGGAAGGUUGGGAAAAGUCAAGUAACCGACACAAUGGACAAAAAGUGUACACGAGAUGAAAAGCUUGGGGUGGGGGUGGGGUUCUGCUGAAGGCCCCUGUGGUCACACCCCGGCCCCACCCUUGAUUUAAGACCUCAUGGUACCAGGGUACCUUUCAUGAUCUCAUUGGAAGUCACAACAGUGACUGAGGUGCAAGUCCAGUUUACACUUUGUUAAAUAAAUAGGGACUACGG